CAAUAGCGUAUAUUAAAGUUGUUGCAGUUAAAAAGCUCGUAGUUGGAUUUGUAGCGUACGGUGUGUUCCGGGCACUUGUUGUCUGAGUAACCUGCUGUUGCCAUCCUUGGGUGGAACCUGUGUGGCAUUAGGUUGUCGUGCAGGGGAUGCCCAUCAUUUACUGUGAAAAAAUUAGAGUGUUCAAAGCAGGCUUAUGCCGUUGAAUAUAUUAGCAUGGAAUAAUGAGAUAGGACUUUUUUGCUAUUUUGUUGGUUUGCGCAAGAAGGUAAUGAUUAAUAGGGACAGUUGGGGGUAUUCGUAUUCCAUUGUCAGAGGUGAAAUUCUUGGAUUUUUGGAAGACGAACUACUGCGAAAGCAUUUACCAAGGAUGUUUUCAUUAA
This 380-nucleotide ribosomal RNA is filed under the name uncultured eukaryote. RNAcentral describes it as "partial 18S ribosomal RNA". It matches the Rfam family "Eukaryotic small subunit ribosomal RNA", at positions 592 to 976 of the family's 1831-position model. The record is from RNAcentral.